GGGCGUCGAACGUAAGAUGACUGUAGGUGAAAGCUUACAUCUCUUCGGAGCAUUUUACGAGGUGCUGCAUGGUUGUCGUCAGCUCGUGCCGUGAGGUGUCGGGUUAAGUCCCAUAACGACGCGCAACCCCUACCUUUAGUUGCCAUCAGGUUAAGCUGGGGACUCUAAAGGAACUGCCUACGCAAGUAGUGAGGAAGCGGGGAUGACGUCAAAUCAGCACGGCCCUUACGUCCAGGGCUACACACGUGCUACAAUGGCCGAUACAGAGGGCAGCUACCUGGUGACAGGAUGCAAAUCUCCAAAGUCGGUCUCAGUUCGGAUCGGAGUCUGCAACCCGACUCCGUGAAGUUGGAUUCGCUAGUAAUCGCGCAUCAGCCAUGGCGCGGUGAAUACGUUCCCGGGCCUU
This 406-nucleotide ribosomal RNA is filed under the name uncultured Sphingobacteriales bacterium. RNAcentral describes it as "bacterial SSU rRNA". It matches the Rfam family "Bacterial small subunit ribosomal RNA", at positions 977 to 1382 of the family's 1533-position model. Lineage: Bacteria; Pseudomonadati; Bacteroidota; Sphingobacteriia; Sphingobacteriales. The record is from RNAcentral.